AUUGAACGCUGGCGGCAGGCCUAACACAUGCAAGUCGAGCGGUAGCACAGAGAGCUUGCUCUCGGGUGACGAGCGGCGGACGGGUGAGUAAUGUCUGGGAAACUGCCUGAUGGAGGGGGAUAACUACUGGAAACGGUAGCUAAUACCGCAUAACGUCGCAAGACCAAAGUGGGGGACCUUCGGGCCUCAUGCCAUCAGAUGUGCCCAGAUGGGAUUAGCUAGUAGGUGGGGUAAUGGCUCACCUAGGCGACGAUCCCUAGCUGGUCUGAGAGGAUGACCAGCCACACUGGAACUGAGAUACGGUCCAGACUCCUACGGGAGGCAGCAGUGGGGAAUAUUGCACAAUGGGCGCAAGCCUGAUGCAGCCAUGCCGCGUGUGUGAAGAAGGCCUUCGGGUUGUAAAGCACUUUCAGCGGGGAGGAAGGCGGUGAGGUUAAUAACCUCAUCGAUUGACGUUACCCGCAGAAGAAGCACCGGCUAACUCCGUGCCAGCAGCCGCGGUAAUACGGAGGGUGCAAGCGUUAAUCGGAAUUACUGGGCGUAAAGCGCACGCAGGCGGUCUGUCAAGUCGGAUGUGAAAUCCCCGGGCUCAACCUGGGAACUGCAUUCGAAACUGGCAGGCUAGAGUCUUGUAGAGGGGGGUAGAAUUCCAGGUGUAGCGGUGAAAUGCGUAGAGAUCUGGAGGAAUACCGGUGGCGAAGGCGGCCCCCUGGACAAAGACUGACGCUCAGGUGCGAAAGCGUGGGGAGCAAACAGGAUUAGAUACCCUGGUAGUCCACGCCGUAAACGAUGUCGAUUUGGAGGUUGUGCCCUUGAGGCGUGGCUUCCGGAGCUAACGCGUUAAAUCGACCGCCUGGGGAGUACGGCCGCAAGGUUAAAACUCAAAUGAAUUGACGGGGGCCCGCACAAGCGGUGGAGCAUGUGGUUUAAUUCGAUGCAACGCGAAGAACCUUACCUGGUCUUGACAUCCACAGAACUUAGCAGAGAUGCUUUGGUGCCUUCGGGAACUGUGAGACAGGUGCUGCAUGGCUGUCGUCAGCUCGUGUUGUGAAAUGUUGGGUUAAGUCCCGCAACGAGCGCAACCCUUAUCCUUUGUUGCCAGCGGUUAGGCCGGGAACUCAAAGGAGACUGCCAGUGAUAAACUGGAGGAAGGUGGGGAUGACGUCAAGUCAUCAUGGCCCUUACGACCAGGGCUACACACGUGCUACAAUGGCAUAUACAAAGAGAAGCGACCUCGCGAGAGCAAGCGGACCUCAUAAAGUAUGUCGUAGUCCGGAUUGGAGUCUGCAACUCGACUCCAUGAAGUCGGAAUCGCUAGUAAUCGUAGAUCAGAAUGCUACGGUGAAUACGUUCCCGGGCCUUGUACACACCGCCCGUCACACCAUGGGAGUGGGUUGCAAAAGAAGUAGGUAGCUUAACCUUCGGGAGGGCGCUUACCACUUUGUGAUUCAUGACUGGGGUGA
This 1463-nucleotide ribosomal RNA is filed under the name uncultured Klebsiella sp. RNAcentral describes it as "bacterial SSU rRNA". It matches the Rfam family "Bacterial small subunit ribosomal RNA". Lineage: Bacteria; Pseudomonadati; Pseudomonadota; Gammaproteobacteria; Enterobacterales; Enterobacteriaceae. The record is from RNAcentral.